This is a long non-coding RNA of Hemicordylus capensis (graceful crag lizard), 1490 nucleotides long. RefSeq lists it as uncharacterized. The record is from RefSeq and is a predicted model, not a curated record. Lineage: Eukaryota; Metazoa; Chordata; Lepidosauria; Squamata; Cordylidae. The transcript is spliced from 3 exons.
AGAACCCUCCCUCCCCAGUGUUGUGCACAGUUUGCUCUACACACAGAGGUAACUAGACAAGAGUAAAAGAUACUCCCUCUUUAUAUCAAGAUUGUGCAAGCUGCCAGGCCUAAUUGAUAAGGUGAUUUGGAUCUCCCAAGCAUCACAACUGUUUUGCACCUGCUCCUCAAAUUCAGUUCCUCUUAGCUGCUGCCUCAGCCCAUUGGCUGAGGAAAAAAGCCUCUGAAAGACAAUCUGGUUGGCCUGAUGUGAAAGGGAUUUUGCUGGUGUUAGGAUGUUUGAUUACAAGAGAGGAUUGAUCUCAGCUCCCUUUUCUCGUCAGCUUCUAUCCUUCUGAUAGAGAACAAAUGGGAAAAAGUUGCUUUUGUUAGUUCAUUUCCUCUAACAAGACUGAAGAUUUGAUGCUUUAUUUAUUCCUGUGCUUUGGCCAAUUACUCACUUUGUAAGCUAGUCUAUCAUGAACAAACUUGAAGAAGUGAUAAUGCUUGGUAAUUGGUAAAUCUAAAGGGGUCAACGUGGCACAAAAUCAUUGUUUAGUACCACUGGUUAAAGCUAGAUUACAUUUGUGCAAUGUAUAACUCAUAUGAGUAAUAGCCACGUACAUGUUAGUUAAAUAUUAUCUUAUCUAGUUAGUUAAAUAUUAUCUUAUUGUGAGCCCUUUGGGGACAGGGAUCCAUCUUAUUUAUUUAUUAUUUCUCUAUGUAAACCGCCCUGAGCCAUUUUUGGAAGGGCGGGAUAGAAAUCGAAUUAUUAUUAUUAUCAUCAUAAUCAUCAUCAUCUUAUCUAUCACAAAACUAGAUGCCAACCAGUGCAAGAAGCAACUAUAUGAAGAGGGUGUACACACGACUGUGGGGGAGGCAGGGUCAAACAUACCUUCCCAGAUGAUUGUCAUAGUACUGUGUGGCGCAUGCCUCACACACCCACAUGAUCUGUGCUACUCCAUGUGGUUCAGCUCUCUGGAGGCCAGGGAAAUGAGUCCUGGACUCCAGGAAUCCCAAGACACACCAUACGAGCAGCACGGUGUGCAUUCAGAGAUUCCCCCUUGAGCUGGAUGCUCUAGGCACCCAGUACUUUGUAUGCUCAGGCUGCCUGCAGGCCGAGCAUACACAUGACCCCGGACCUGGGAUAAAGGGUGCUCUUGUGCCCUUUAACCCAGGUUAAAAAAAACUCAGGCUACUGGGGGAAGCAGUUCUGGGAUCGCCCUCAAUCCUGGCUCUGCACAUGAUCCUGGGCUGCUCAUGUGCUGGACUGCUCAUGUGCACAGCCUCAAAGUCUUUUUAGAUGGACCUUCCCAGACAUAAUUGAAAACUGUUGUUUCAUUUAUUGUACAGACUGGGCAAAACAGUAAAAGGGUCAGGACUUUCUCUUAUGAACUUUGAAAGAAGUAGUUUCUUCUACCUGAAAUUUCAAUAAAGAUCCAACUUGUUAUGGCUACUGACUUCAAUAAAUAAAGUAAAUAAUUUAAUUGUAAUUAUAAGGAACACCUUGCA